GAUGAACGCUGGCGGCGUGCCUAAUACAUGCAAGUCGAGCGAACGGACGAGAAGCUUGCUUCUCUGAUGUUAGCGGCGGACGGGUGAGUAACACGUGGAUAACCUACCUAUAAGACUGGGAUAACUUCGGGAAACCGUAGCUAAUACCGGAUAAUAUUUUGAACCGCAUGGUUCAAAAGUGAAAGACGGUCUUGCUGUCACUUAUAGAUGGAUCCGCGCUGCAUUAGCUAGUUGAUAAGGUAACGGCUUACCAAGGCAACGAUGCAUAGCCGACCUGAGAGGGUGAUCGGCCACACUGGAACUGAGACACGGUCCAGACUCCUACGGGAGGCAGCAGUAGGGAAUCUUCCGCAAUGGGCGAAAGCCUGACGGAGCAACGCCGCGUGAGUGAUGAAGGUCUUCGGAUCGUAAAACUCUGUUAUUAGGGAAGAACAUAUGUGUAAGUAACUGUGCACAUCUUGACGGUACCUAAUCAGAAAGCCACGGCUAACUACGU
Molecule: ribosomal RNA, 496 nt
Filed under: uncultured bacterium
Lineage: Bacteria
Description: partial 16S ribosomal RNA
Rfam family: Bacterial small subunit ribosomal RNA
Source: RNAcentral